CCUACGGGAGGCAGCAGUGGGGGAUAUUGCACAAUGGGGGAAACCCUGAUGCAGCGACGCCGCGUGGGUGAAGAAGCGCCUCGGCGCGUAAAGCCCUGUCAGCAGGGAAGAAAAUCACGGUACCUGAAGAAGAAGCCCCGGGUCACUACGUGGCAGAAGCCGGGGUUAUACGUAGGGGGCAACCGUUAUCCGGAUUUACUGGGUGUAAUGGGGGCGCAGACGGCGUUGCAAGCCAGGAGUGAAAGCCCGGGGUCCAACCCCGGGACUGCUGUUGGAACUGCGUGGCUAGAGUGCAGGAGGGGUAGGCGGAAUGCGUGGUGUAGCGGUGAAAUGCGUAGAUAUCAGGAGGAACACCGGUGGCGAAGGCGGCCUGCUGGACUGCAACUGACGUUGAGGCACGAAAGCGUGGGGAGCAAACAGGAUUAGAUACCCGAGUAGUC
RNAcentral lists this ribosomal RNA (440 nucleotides) under uncultured bacterium. RNAcentral describes it as "partial 16S ribosomal RNA". It matches the Rfam family "Bacterial small subunit ribosomal RNA", at positions 338 to 795 of the family's 1533-position model. The record is from RNAcentral.